This is a long non-coding RNA of Perca flavescens (yellow perch), 1695 nucleotides long. RefSeq lists it as uncharacterized. The transcript has 4 exons. Lineage: Eukaryota; Metazoa; Chordata; Actinopteri; Perciformes; Percidae. The record is from RefSeq and is a predicted model, not a curated record.
UUUCCCAGGCCAGCACCUCCCAGAGUAUUGGCUGCCAGACUGAGCCCCUUCCUAAAAGAUGGUUGGAACCCAACUAUCCAAGGACACUCUUAAGACUCGGGUCAGAAGCAGAGCUUCUCAGACAAGUGUGGUCUGUGAGAAUGUGUGUGGUUCUCACCUCAACACCCUUGAAGCCCCUUCCACCUAAUAAGAGGCCGCGACUGGAACUAGAGGAGGACGACGAUGAAUGGGAGGCCUCCGUUGAGAUACUGACCCUAGUCAGUCGACUGUAUCAUAAGUUCUCAAGGAAAGCUCCAAUAGCUAUUUAUCUUUGAUGUGUCUCAAAUCUGAUGUGAAUAAUAUUUCUUAUGUUUCUUAUGUUCUUUUUCUCCCCUUGCACAGACAAGCCUCACCACCAUAUGAUUUACCUAAAUACUGUAUAUUGUAUAUGAAGACUGCCUCCUCGAGUUGUUUGAGUUAUGUCCAGUGUGCAGCUCCAUGUGUGAUGUCCAGAAAACUAUACGUGGGACUUUCCUUGCUGUUGAUCAGACGUGCCACUGUUGCGAGUUCAACAGACAGUGGAAGAGUCAACCGUUCAUUGGAAGUACACCUGCAGGGAACAUUCAUCUCUCUGCGGCUGUAUAUUUUACAGGGACAUCUUUCAUGUAAAUGAAAAAGAUUUUCAAUGCAUUUGGUGUGAAGAGCAUGCGAUACCAAGGAUUCUGGAAACAUGCAACAACCUAUCUUGAACCUGCCAUUGUUUGGAAAUGGAAAAGGGUCCAGCAGGUUGGGCGCCAGCAGAGCAAGGUCAUCAUUGGAGGAGAUAUGCGGGCAGAUUCUCCAGGUCUUGGAGCAGGAAUUAAUAUCUGUGUCCACAUCUACACAUUUGCCAAUAAAUGUGUAAAUCUCACAGGGCUACAUAUCUGAAUACAGAACACAUGGAUGGAGGACCAGUUGCAGAACUACAUUUUUGUAGUUUUCUUUUGACAUUUUUGUCGUCUCUGCAGACAUGUUCAUAUCAACACAAACGAGCCUUGGUAUAAUUAUGUAUAAAUAUAACGUGUUAUGUAAGAUUCAGCUGGUUUUUAUUGUCUCAGUGUGUCGAGGACGUCGCCAUUACUCAUGAAUGUAAAUCUCUUCUUCCUCCUCAUCUGUCUCCAGUCUUCAUCACUUCCUCCUGCGGAGACUCAAACUUACACAAAGCAACGGGAAGUCAAAACGACAGACUGAUGUCAUGAAGUGGCGUAUGUAUGACACGCCAAUUUGCUUGCCAUUAUACGCCUAGAGACUAAAGGUGUGUGUCCACCGUCAACGCUUCCCAUUCAUUUCUACGGGAGCAGCCGUGCAAUGCAUUCUGGGAGCGUCGCGGGGACUUUGGAGAAGUGGGGGGCAUCGAGUGGCCAGCUCCUCAUUUGCAUGAAGUUGAAUCCGGCCAACUUUAUGCAAAUGAGGAGAAUCUGUCUUCUGAAAUGUUUCUCUCUUAAAAUGUUUUCAGAAGCUUCGGUAAGCUAUUUCCUAUAGCAGUGGUUCUCAAAUGGGGGUAUGUGUCCCCCCCCCUAGGGGUACUCUGGAGGACUGCAGGGGGUACGUGUCCCCCCCUAGGGGUACUCUGGAGGACUGCAGGGGGUAACGUGAUAUCGUUUGCAUAAUGUUCAAAGUCUGUUGUACUAGACCAUUGUACCUCUUUAUAUGGACUUUAUAUCCAUUUCUUUUUUU